Molecule: long non-coding RNA, 546 nt
Organism: Leptinotarsa decemlineata (Colorado potato beetle)
Lineage: Eukaryota; Metazoa; Arthropoda; Insecta; Coleoptera; Chrysomelidae
Source: RefSeq, a predicted model, not a curated record
GCCCCCUUAGGAACGACCCUCAGAAGAGGAAACUUUUGAUGGAAAAACCAUUUAACGUAUUUGAAAAACAUUUCAAUGUGAAAUUUCCGCAAAAUUGUUUUUGAAAAUCUCACUAUAACGUUAUUAAAUACCAUUCUCAGUUUUAUGAUGAAGAUAUUACUUUAAAAUAUAAAAACAGUUAAUAGAUAGUUAAAUAUGUUGAAUUGAAGGGUUUUUUUUAUGUUAUUUCAGAAAAUAAAUUUUAACGUAAUGUUUCAAGGCAUUAUGGUUACUUGAUUUGAUUGAAACACUAUGGUAUACACUUUGGUGACCUGAAUAUAUAUCAGCCAAAAAAAAUAUGUACUCUUGCAGCUUAACUUUCAUUUUUUUUCCUAAAUAUACAAAAAAAAAAUUCAAUGUGAUAUGGAGCAAUUGAAUCCACCUUCCUUUGAAAUUUUACUAAUUCAUUAGAAUAAAGCAAAUUACUUAUCCUUAAAACAUAUCAAUAUGGCUACAAAUAUUAUUAAGGGUGAACAAGUCAUUAAAAUUAAAUGAUAUGACUAUUGA